GACGAACGCUGGCGGCGUGCUUAACACAUGCAAGUCGAGCGGAGCGGCGAACGGGUGAGUAACGCGUGAGUAACUGCCCCCCUCUCUGGGAUAACAGUUGGAAACGGCUGCUAAUACCGGAGAGUGGUGGAUGACUCGCGUCCUAUCAGCUUUUUGGUGGGGUAGUGGACUACCAAGGUGACGACGGGUAGCCGGCCUGGGAGGGCGACUGGUCCCAUUGGGCUGAGGGACCGACCAGACUCCUACCGGAGGCAGUAGUGGGGAAUCUUGCACAAUGGGGGAAACCUUGACGCAGCAAUGCCGCGAGCGUGAUGACGGCCUUCGGGAUGUAAACCGCUUUCAGCCAUGACGCGGUAGUUGCAGAAGAAGCACCGGCUAACUACGUGCCAGCAGCCGCGGUAAUAC
Molecule: ribosomal RNA, 405 nt
Filed under: uncultured bacterium
Lineage: Bacteria
Description: partial 16S ribosomal RNA
Rfam family: Bacterial small subunit ribosomal RNA
Source: RNAcentral